Long non-coding RNA from Rhinopithecus roxellana (golden snub-nosed monkey), 808 nucleotides. RefSeq lists it as uncharacterized. NCBI's taxonomy places the organism in Eukaryota, Metazoa, Chordata, Mammalia, Primates, Cercopithecidae. The record is from RefSeq and is a predicted model, not a curated record. The transcript has 3 exons.
CUUCCUAGUUCCCCGCGUUCUCUGCACCCUGAAGUCGCUGCAGUGACCUCCCUACCUGACUCUUAAGGGAUUUCCCCUGAGAAUUUGGGGGCCGGGGGAGAGGGUGAGGAGAAGAAAAGAAUGAGAUGGAAACUUUGGGGAAAUCCCAUCUGGAUGAAAAUAAACCAGGAGGAGAGAGAGAAGACAAACAGAAAAGUUGCAAGAGAACUAGAACCCUAAGAGGAGAAGCAGUUUUCACCUUCUUCGUAGCAAAUCUUGUUUUUCUCUAUAAUGGUUUUUAUUAACUUCCAAAGGAAAACUGAAGAUCCUAACCCCUGUGUCAUGAGUUAUCACGUUAAAAGUCCAUAGAAAAAAAUUUUUUUGAACCCAGUUCUUACUUUUUGUGUAUAUAUUUUUUGCCUUGAUAAUAAUUAUUGAGUUUAUCGAGUGACACAUUGACAAAUCGUAUGGCCUAUUUUUAAUUCCACAGAUACAUGAUCUUUCUGUAUAGUCUUAAACAGUCUUUACCCCUAGUCACUUUGGAUGAAAAGCUUGGUAGAGAGGUUUGAGUUUGAUAUCUACGUGUCAGUGGCAUCAAACUCAGGGAGCCAGGUAUUAUGAUAAAGUGCUUAACAUAUUCAAUGAAUCCUUACAACAGGCUGAAGAUGUUAUUUUUAUCACCAUUUUAAAAAAUGUUUAUUCACUUGUAAUUGAAGACCUCUACACUGCACAUAUAUAAAGCUGUAAGUUUGGUUUGAUCAGUUUUGACAUAUAUGUAUACGCAUUAAACCAUUACUACAAUAAAAAUAAUCUUCCGUCAUUCCCAAAA